RNAcentral lists this ribosomal RNA (406 nucleotides) under uncultured bacterium. Its description in RNAcentral is "partial 16S ribosomal RNA". It matches the Rfam family "Bacterial small subunit ribosomal RNA", at positions 28 to 526 of the family's 1533-position model. The record is from RNAcentral.
GACGAACGCUGGCGGCGUGCUUAACACAUGCAAGUCGAACGAGUGGCGAACGGGUGAGUAAUACGUGGGUAACCUGCCCUCUUUUUGGGAUAAGCCUUGGAAACGGGGUCUAAUACCGAAUAAAGGGGGAUGGGCUCGAGGCCUGUCAGCUUGUUGGUGGGGUGAGGGCCUACCAAGGCGGUGACGGGUAGCCGGCCUGAGAGGGUGACCGGCCACAUUGGGACGGAGAUACGGCCCAGACGCCUACGGGGGGCAGCAGUGGGGGAUAUUGCAGAAGGGGUGAAAGCCUGAUGCCGCGACGGCGCGUGGGGGAUGAAGGCUUUCGGGUUGUAAACCUCGUUCGCUAGCGAAGGGGUAGGUAGAGAAGAAGCGCCGGCUAACUACGUGCCAGCAGCCGCGGUAAUUC